This 656-nucleotide long non-coding RNA is filed under the name Sus scrofa (pig). Its description in RNAcentral is "lncRNA (ENSSSCG00070020494.1)". The record is from RNAcentral. Lineage: Eukaryota; Metazoa; Chordata; Mammalia; Artiodactyla; Suidae.
UGCAGGGCAACGCGCCCCACGCGUGUGACGUGCGAGAGACGCGAUGGACGCGCCUUGCUCUUACUGUGCAGGUCCCGAGAGCGCGGGGGCCACUCGCGCCCGGUCGUGUUGAGGACAUAGAAUCAGCCGCUGGAGGGGCCGCGGGCCGCGCGGGCCCUUCCCGCUCUCGGUCUCACCUUAAGGGCUAAGGCGACCGAGAAAGCCCAGUGCUCCAGAACUAAGGGCCUCUGGGUCCAAGUCAAAGAUGAUGGCCCCCUCAUGUUGCUAGUGGGAUGGCACUCUGGCAUGAUGCUCUUUGAAGGAGAUGGUACAGGAGAGAAGCCCACAGGACCAGGUGAACUCAUUCUCAGUUGGAUUUCCCUGUAGGGAAAGACAGAAAGGACAAUGGAAUCUACUUUAUGUGAGAUUUCCCACUUUUUGGCUUACUUAUUAAUUUAAAAAAGGGGGGAAGGUUUUCAAGGCUAGAACCAUAAUUGACUGAAUCAAAGAACACCCCCCCCAAAAAAGGGAAGUAGAAGAAAAAAGAAAACAAGGGAAGUGUGAUUAAGAGGGUGGGAAAUCCACUUAUCGACAAAGAAAAUGGGUAUAUGCUUUUUGUCUCUGGUUCAAGUGAAUUCCACUGAGUUUCCUUUUUAUUUGUUUUUUGGAGAGUGAGG